Molecule: long non-coding RNA, 552 nt
Organism: Rhincodon typus (whale shark)
Lineage: Eukaryota; Metazoa; Chordata; Chondrichthyes; Orectolobiformes; Rhincodontidae
Exons: 2
Source: RefSeq, a predicted model, not a curated record
UUCACAUGUGCUUUCAUAGUAUUGAUUGUACACAGGUCCAACUGCUUCCUGGAUAUAGAAAUAUCAAUGGCUGUGAGGAACAGAACUAAUUUAUUGCAAGGAUUCAGAACGUAUUACAAAACACAAAAGAAAAUUUUGGAGUUACACCAUCCUUAGAUGCCUGAUGGUACAUGCCUUCUUCAUGACAGUUUGUACAAUCGAGUAGCUUUGUUCGGCCACAUCUGAGGCCAGUGAAGAGUCAGCCAAGCAUACACUAGCCCAGGCAAAGAUGUCAGAUUUUCCUUCCUAAAGAACAAUGCAAAACCCCAAUUGGUUCACGAAUGAUCCAGCAGCUACAUGGUCACUUCUGCUGAUAGCAGCAUCAAACACGAAAAGGUGCAGUGUGAUCAAUGUGAAAACACUGAGAAAAGCAAUCAUUUCCUUCAGCAUUGGAUCGGAAUCUUGAAACUAACACCACUGGGGACACCUAAAACAAACACAAGUCAGUGAUCCAGCGUAUGACCAUUUUCUGAGGGCAAUGAUGGAUGCACAAUAAAUGCCAGCUUUGUCAGU